GAAAUGACUAGUUUUAUAUGCAAAGCUAAAACUGAUUCAGAAAUUAAACAACUUUAUUUGAUGCAUACAACUAGGGCAUUAGGAAAUAAGAACAACACUUCUAUAUUGAACAUUGAUGGGCAAUACAUAACUAGACAAUGAGAAUUCAAAGUUGCCUUGCUAAAAAGUAUGUGAAUGCAGAAGUUCUACAGGGCCACGUACAGCCUGCAAUUAUGAAUGCAAGGCAUUCAUUGCCAAUCUUCAAACAUGAAUAGCGGAUACAAGGGAGAAAGUUAAAGCAGAUAUAAUAAAUGACUUUGAGCUCACCAUUUCCAUCACAAUCAGCGCUGACUAAACUACUUGGUUUAAAGCUUUUUUCGCUACCUGUAGCCUGUCAAAUCCAGAGAGAAGUGACUUGCAAGGAAAACAUACCAGACGAGAGAUGAAGGGAAGACCGAGCUUUCAUGCAUUGCCAAUUGAAGUGAGCCAUGCCUCAUACUCAUUUAAAAAUUGGUUGAAGAAAUCUCUUUACCCAUUUGCUUUAUUCUAAGCAUUUCUCUAGAGCUCCAUCCUACAAUGAUUAGGCCCACUUGAUCCCAAAGUUCAUCAUUAGCAAGAACUUUGUUGUUUAUUUUUAUUGCAGUCAACUAGUUCAGUAGUGUCAAUCCACCCUACUAAUGCACUACUGUGUUCUGUGUAAAUUCUAUUUUAGAUUGCCAUGCCAUGAAAUGAACACUAAAGUAACAACUAUACCAGCAAAGUUUUCUCUGAUUUGAUAAAUGGGCAUCAAUGAUCAUGGGUCAAUUUUUGUUUAUGUUUUUAAUUUUGACCAUUCUCUUCAAUUACAACUAAUACUUCCAUUCAAGAUUAUGAGAAUGGUCAUUCAUAUCCCUCACCAUCCAUCUCCAGGAAAUUAUUGUAGCCAUCUCAACCGAGCAACAAGCGUAUAGCUCAUCAGAAUAAAGUAAACUUUUCCUAGCAACCACCGACCUUAACCUCCAAAGAUUGAAAUUUACCAUAUUUGGAGGUUUGGUUUGUUCACUCUAAGAAACUUCCCAACAACUGAAUCCCCAAGAAUCACUCCUAAUAAUAUCGUCACAGAUAAGCCACAGUCAAAAACCAAACGCAAAGAACAAAGAAAACCCAAAUAUCAAUUGAGAGAGAAAUAAAGGGAUGUUGCAGAAUGAAGAGAGAGAUACCUGGUUUGUUGGGAGAGAGAGAGAAGAGUAAACAUGGGUAAAACUAAAACACAUAGCAUUCAUCAUUUUCAAUAUGGGUUGCUUCUUCAAGUGAUCUUUCAGCAGAAAGAGAAGAGCUAAACUAAAUAGUCAAAAGAGAGCGAAACUCUAUUUCUGUGUGCUUGUUCAAUUGUUGGUGGUAACGAACACAGGCGCAUUACGAGC
This 1382-nucleotide unclassified non-coding RNA is filed under the name Hevea brasiliensis (rubber tree). Lineage: Eukaryota; Viridiplantae; Streptophyta; Magnoliopsida; Malpighiales; Euphorbiaceae. The record is from RNAcentral.